GAUGUCGUUAGACCGGGCGGCCGGUAUUGACUGUACAAAGGUAGCAUAAUCAUUAGUCUUUUAAUUGAAGACUUGAAUGAAGGAUUUGAUGAAAUGUGAACUGUCUCUGUUUUAAAUAUAAAAUUUAAUUUUUUAGUUAAAAAGCUAAAAUAUAAUUAAAAGACGAGAAGACCCUAUAGAGUUUUAUAUUUUAAUUAUUUAAUUUAAUGUAUAUAUUUAAAUAUAUUAAUUAAUUAAAAUAUUAUAUUGGGGUGAUAAAAAAAUUUAAUAAACUUUUUUUAAAAAAUAAACAUAAAUAAAUGAUUAAAUGAUCCAUUUUUAGUGAUUAAAAGAAAAAAUUACCUUAGGGAUAACAGCGUAAUAUUUUUUUUUAGUUCAAAUAAGAAAAAAAGUUUGCGACCUCGAUGUUGGAUUAAGAUAAAAUUUAAAUGCAAAAGUUUAAAGUUUGAUCUGUUCGAUCAUUAAAAUCUUACAUGAUCUGAGUUCAG
This 488-nucleotide ribosomal RNA is filed under the name Kallima inachus (orange oakleaf). Its description in RNAcentral is "partial 16S ribosomal RNA". The stretch from base 349 to 488 matches the Rfam family "Bacterial large subunit ribosomal RNA", at positions 2473 to 2614 of the family's 2925-position model. The record is from RNAcentral. Lineage: Eukaryota; Metazoa; Arthropoda; Insecta; Lepidoptera; Nymphalidae.